CGACGACAUAAAUAUGAAAUCUCUUUCAUCACGUUAGUUCCUUUAAAGAAUAACAGGAUAGACUACCAGUUUUCAUUCAAAUACAUCUCUACCUUGUGAAUAAAUUGAGAUAACAUUGUGUGCGUUGUAAGCAAGAAGAACGACUUUCACUUGCUCCAGAAUUGAAAAUUGAUGGACUUCCACUUCAAUAAAUUUAAUCAUUUUAAAUUGCAGUGCAUAUGUAGUUGGAAACAACUUGUAUAUCAAAGAUGAAAGAGAAGAUGACAUUUAUUAUAAAAAUAUUUAGUAACCUC
Molecule: long non-coding RNA, 293 nt
Organism: Uloborus diversus
Lineage: Eukaryota; Metazoa; Arthropoda; Arachnida; Araneae; Uloboridae
Exons: 3
Source: RefSeq, a predicted model, not a curated record